This 452-nucleotide ribosomal RNA is filed under the name Salmonella enterica subsp. enterica serovar Give. Its description in RNAcentral is "partial 23S ribosomal RNA". It matches the Rfam family "Bacterial large subunit ribosomal RNA", at positions 1 to 492 of the family's 2925-position model. Lineage: Bacteria; Pseudomonadati; Pseudomonadota; Gammaproteobacteria; Enterobacterales; Enterobacteriaceae. The record is from RNAcentral.
GGUUAAGCGACUAAGCGUACACGGUGGAUGCCCUGGCAGUCAGAGGCGAUGAAGGACGUGCUAAUCUGCGAUAAGCGCCGGUAAGGUGAUAUGAACCGUUAUAACCGGCGAUUUCCGAAUGGGGAAACCCAGUGUGACUCGUCACACUAUCAUUAACUGAAUCCAUAGGUUAAUGAGGCGAACCGGGGGAACUGAAACAUCUAAGUACCCCGAGGAAAAGAAAUCAACCGAGAUUCCCCCAGUAGCGGCGAGCGAACGGGGAGGAGCCCAGAGCCUGAAUCAGCAUGUGUGUUAGUGGAAGCGUCUGGAAAGGCGCGCGAUACAGGGUGACAGCCCCGUACACAAAAGCGCAUGUGCUGUGAGCUCGAUGAGUAGGGCGGGACACGUGGUAUCCUGUCUGAAUAUGGGGGGACCAUCCUCCAAGGCUAAAUACUCCUGACUGACCGAUAGUG